GACGAACGCUGGCGGCGUGCUUAACACAUGCAAGUCGAACGGAAAGGCCCGGCUCUUGCGGGGUGCUCGAGUGGCGAACGGGUGAGUAACACGUGAGUGACCUGCCCCUGACUUUGGGAUAACUUCAGGAAACUGGGGCUCAUACCCGAUAUGAGCUUCUGCUGCAUGUUGUUGGUUGGUAAGAUUCGGCGGUUGGGGCUGGACUGGCUGCUUAUCAGCUUGUUUGUGUGGUAGUGGCUUUCCACGGUUUUGACGGCUAGCCUGCCUGAGAGGGUGACCGGGCACCUGGGGACUGAGGUACGGCCCAGACUCCUACGGGAGGCAGCGGUGGGGAAUAUUGCAGAAUGGGGGGAAGCGUGAUGCGACAACGCCGCGUGCGGGAUGACGGCCUUCGGGUUGUAAACCGCUUUCGCCUGUACUGAAGAGUGAGUGACGGUAAUGGGUAAAGAAGCAACGGCUAACUACGUG
RNAcentral lists this ribosomal RNA (468 nucleotides) under uncultured bacterium. RNAcentral's name for it is "partial 16S ribosomal RNA". It matches the Rfam family "Bacterial small subunit ribosomal RNA", at positions 28 to 507 of the family's 1533-position model. The record is from RNAcentral.